GUCUAUGGAAUUUGACUUCUAUCGUUAUUGGGGACAUUAGGGACGGAUAUCACGUGAGUAUAUUCAUCUUCUUGGUGGGCAAAGCAUGGAUAAACUGCCCCCCAACUUGCUAUGGUUGGCACAAUGGAUUUUGGAUUUGACUUGGACAUUGUUUAGCUGCAAAUGCAACUUCAUCACAUUCGAGAUGGCCCAUGCUUUGUGAAAGAUUUAGAUCCUACAAGCGAAUGGUUGGUUGAGCAAGAUGCUGGGGAUGGGCUUGUAUUCGAGAGAGAGAGCUUGACAUAGACCCAAGUGCAAGAGGCAGUUGGUCUGGCAUCGAACCCCAUGAGAAUUAGAUUCCAUACUCAGAGAAAGGAGAAGGAUAUGGGAAAGGAGAAGGGAAGGGGGGGUAGGAGAAGGAGAAUGUGCAUAUGAAGAGGGGGACGAUAAUGCAGGAGGAGGACAAUGUAGAGAGGAGACAAGGGAAGAAUGUUUUUAUGUGGAGGAGGAAGAUGACUCUGAUGAAGAUGGCUUGACAUUAUCAUCAGAUUCAGGUGCACCUGAUGCUGGCCCUGGAUGUCGACUUGUUGUUGCUAGUGAUGAUGAAACUCAACCUCAUAUUUGAGUUCAUCAUAUUUGUAGUGUGAAGAAGACUAAUUUUUGUACUUUAUAUCCUUUGAUUGUCG
This is a non-coding RNA of Amborella trichopoda, 665 nucleotides long. NCBI's taxonomy places the organism in Eukaryota, Viridiplantae, Streptophyta, Magnoliopsida, Amborellales, Amborellaceae. The record is from RefSeq and is a predicted model, not a curated record.